Molecule: ribosomal RNA, 673 nt
Filed under: bacterium
Lineage: Bacteria
Description: bacterial SSU rRNA
Rfam family: Bacterial small subunit ribosomal RNA
Source: RNAcentral
AGCGGCGGACGGGUGAGUAACACGCUCGCGUGUAACCUGCCUGUAAGACUGGGAUAACUCCGGGAAACCCCGCGGCUAAUACCGGAUGGUUGUUUGAACCGCAUGGUUCAGACAUAAAAGGUGGCUUCGGCUACCACUUACAGAUGGACCCGCGGCGCAUUAGCUAGUUGGUGAGGUAACGGCUCACCAAGGCGACGAUGCGUAGCCGACCUGAGAGGGUGAUCGGCCACACUGGGACUGAGACACGGCCCAGACUCCUACGGGAGGCAGCAGUAGGGAAUCUUCCGCAAUGGACGAAAGUCUGACGGAGCAACGCCGCGUGAGUGAUGAAGGUUUUCGGAUCGUAAAGCUCUGUUGUUAGGGAAGAACAAGUGCCGUUCAAAUAGGGCGGCACCUUGACGGUACCUAACCAGAAAGCCACGGCUAACUACGUGCCAGCAGCCGCGGUAAUACGUAGGUGGCAAGCGUUGUCCGGAAUUAUUGGGCGUAAAGGGCUCGCAGGCGGUUUCUUAAGUCUGAUGUGAAAGCCCCCGGCUCAACCGGGGAGGGUCAUUGGAAACUGGGGAACUUGAGUGCAGAAGAGGAGAGUGGAAUUCCACGUGUAGCGGUGAAAUGCGUAGAGAUGUGGAGGAACACCAGUGGCGAAAGGCGACUCUCUGGGUCUGUAACUGAC